RNAcentral lists this transfer RNA (100 nucleotides) under Streptomyces platensis. Its description in RNAcentral is "tRNA-His". The record is from RNAcentral. Lineage: Bacteria; Bacillati; Actinomycetota; Actinomycetes; Kitasatosporales; Streptomycetaceae.
AGCGCUACUGGCUGGAGACCUCGUCCCGCGCCGGGGAUGUGUCCUCCGUGGGGCUGGGCGCGGCGGACCAUCCGCUGCUCGGUGCCGCGGUGGCGCUGCC